Molecule: ribosomal RNA, 578 nt
Filed under: uncultured bacterium
Lineage: Bacteria
Description: bacterial SSU rRNA
Rfam family: Bacterial small subunit ribosomal RNA
Source: RNAcentral
ACGGGUGAGUAACACGUAGGGACCUACCCAAGAGCGGGGGAUAACCAAGGGAAACUUUGGCUAAUACCGCGUAAUCUCGAGAGAGCAAAACUGCCGAGAGGUGGUGCUUUUGGAGGGGCCUGCGUCUGAUUAGCUAGUUGGUGAGGUAAGGGCUCACCAAGGCGAUGAUCGGUAACUGGUCUGAGAGGACGACCAGUCACACUGGGACUGAGACACGGCCCAGACUCCUACGGGAGGCAGCAGUGGGGAAUAUUGGACAAUGGGGGCAACCCUGAUCCAGCGAUGCCGCGUGGGUGAAGAAGGCCUUCGGGUUGUAAAGCCCUUUAGGUUGGGAAGAAGUUUAUAUGAUGAUAAGUCAUGUAGAUUGACGGUACUGACAGAAUAAGCACCGGCAAACUCUGUGCCAGCAGCCGCGGUAAUACAGAGGGUGCGAGCGUUAAUCGGAGUUACUGGGCGUAAAGGGCGCGUAGGCGGUUAGAUGGGUGUGAUGUGAAAGCCCCGGGCUUAACCUGGGAAGUGCAUCGCAAACUAUGUAACUGGAGUACAAGAGAGGGUGGCGGAAUUUCCGGUGUAGCGGU